ACAUAACAGGAUGGGUGGGGAAAUAGGAACCCAUUGAUUUUCCUUAGAAUUUUGUUAAUAGAAGUGCCCUAAGGAAGGAAAGACUCACAGGAAACUUUAAAAGCCUUUCUCCCUGGGGCUCUACAUCUCAGAGACCCAUGCCUGAGGACAGAGAAAGGUGAGGGGGAAGAGCCCAGGGCUCCAGCAGACUGGACGAUGAGGACAGAUGAGCUCUGAUCAUGCUCGAACAUGCUGUGAGUGUGCCACACUAGGAUUUUUCCUUCACCAAAAUUUAAUUAAUUAAUUAAUUAAAAGAACACAGAGAAUGCUGUUCUCCAUAAGUUGUUCACGAUUGAAAAGGAGUACUGGAGAAGAUGAAAUGCUUAGAAUUCUGGAUUCAGCAGCUCCUCAGAGGUAUCCUUAGUCAACAAAACCUUUAUGUCCCGCAAAUUAUGCCAGUGAGGACUAGACUCUGUUAGUCAAGAAAGUGCUGUCUCUCCCAGGGUUGUGUCAGUGACAGCAGCAUCACAGCAGUGACAGCCCCUGAUAAAGGGGCCACUAGGAGUUGGUGCGCUUGUACACUUAAGAGCACUGUUUCUCAGACAAUGGUUCCUCAAUCAUCUGCUUCAGAAUCACCUAUUAAAAAGGCAGAUAAGGGGUCCCAACCAACUCAGAAUUUCUGGCGGUGGCACUUAAAUACAGGCACUCCACUGCAUGCGAUAGUCUGAGGACCGCUGACCGCUUACUUAUGACAGGUAGCUUUUCAUACCGCCUAAGACCAAUCGUGUGUAUGCUCACUCUUAUUCCCACAGCCAUGGGAAGUGCCUGACCAGGAGUAGACCUAUAACCUGUGGGUGAAAAUCUAGAUGGAUCCUACACAUGAGACACGAUUGUUUUUCAGGAAGGAAGAAAUCAGGGAACUCUUUCAUGUUGAUACUUACCUUUUCUCCACUGUGGUCAUUUGGUACCUAGAAAGGGUCACUUGCACAAGAAGUAUUUCCUGGUAUGGAGGAGCCUGUGUAUGGAAAACCAUGAAAGAGGAGCCUCACAGCGAAGGUCCGAAGUCCGUCUGUCUUUUUUUUUUUUUUUCCAGGACUUUCAGGAGGAGAAAAUCCCUUCCCUUUCCAACUGCUGUUCUAACAACUGCUUCCCUGUAAUCUCAGAGCCCAGUGACCCUCCAAGGGUCAGAAGCAGGGUCUGGGUGGCAGUGGAGGCUUGGCCGGGGGGGGGGGGGGGGGGGGGAGGCUUCCCUCCAAAAGCCCUGAUUUGAGAAGAGGAAGAACACAGGACAGGGGCCCUUGCAAAUGCAGCUUCAAGAAUUCACCCAGAGCCUCUUGGAAAGAGAUAAGAAUAGUGCUCAUUCCCUUUCCUCUCCCCACCGUCACCCCAUUUCCUGUCCCUGCUCCAGGAAUAUGCAAUAUCCCACAGGAGCUUGUCACACAGGAUCCCAGCACAGAGCAACAGAUGCUCCUGUAUUUGCAUAAGCACACACAUGAUGAAAAGCUUGCUGUUCCAGACUGUUUGCAAAAGAAAACUGUCGCUUUAAGAAAGGGGUCAGCAUGAUGCUCUGGUACAUCCCAUCAGCAAAAAAUUACCGCUUCCACCUGUGCGACAUCUUGGCUUACUUUACAACAGCAGGUCUCAAAAAAUAUUCCAGAACUCUGGAGGAUCCUAAGAUCCUUUCUGAGGUUCUGAUAGCUCAAAAUUAUAAUGAUAUGAUAUUAUUUACCUUUUCUAUUCGCAUUUUCUUAUAAGUAUUAUGGAGCUUCUAGAGCAUAUGUAAAAUUGACGUCAGUAAGUUCUAUGUAUGUAGUUCAUAGUAAGUGAAUAGUAAAUGCACAUGUGAGAAUCCAAGACUCUUUUAUUAAGCCAAGCAAUAAAAGGAUUUGCAAAAAUGUAAAAGAAUGCCAUUUGUCUUGCUGUAUUUUUUGUUUUAGAACAGUUAUAUUUCAUAAAAAUAUGUUAUUUAUAUUAACAUGUAAUGGGUUUGUUAUUGCUACUUCAAUGAAUUAAUAAGUGCAUUUAAAAAUUUCUCAGUUUGUGAAAAAAAAUAAAAAAAUAAUAAAAUAAAAAUUUCUCAGUUUGGGGGUGCCUGGGUGGCUCAGUAGUUGAGCAUCUGCCUUUGGCUCAG
RNAcentral lists this long non-coding RNA (2110 nucleotides) under Canis lupus familiaris (dog). RNAcentral describes it as "lncRNA (ENSCAFG00000054954.1)". The record is from RNAcentral. Lineage: Eukaryota; Metazoa; Chordata; Mammalia; Carnivora; Canidae.